GCAUAUAUGGGCCAACUGUGUAAC
Molecule: microRNA, 24 nt
Filed under: Nicotiana tabacum (common tobacco)
Lineage: Eukaryota; Viridiplantae; Streptophyta; Magnoliopsida; Solanales; Solanaceae
Description: nta-miR6160
Source: miRBase by way of RNAcentral